UUUGACACCCCUGCCCUAAAGUCACCAAAUUCCUUCUGAUCUUGGAAGCUAAGCAGGAUCAGUCCUGGUUAGUUCUUGGAUGGAAAAUUGCCAAUGAAUACCAGGUGAUGUAAGCC
RNAcentral lists this ribosomal RNA (116 nucleotides) under Anolis carolinensis (green anole). Lineage: Eukaryota; Metazoa; Chordata; Lepidosauria; Squamata; Anolidae. The record is from RNAcentral.